Long non-coding RNA from Calliphora vicina (urban bluebottle blowfly), 231 nucleotides. RefSeq lists it as uncharacterized. The record is from RefSeq and is a predicted model, not a curated record. The transcript has 2 exons. NCBI's taxonomy places the organism in Eukaryota, Metazoa, Arthropoda, Insecta, Diptera, Calliphoridae.
CACAACACAACACAACACAACACGGGCAAUCAAAAUCAAAAUGCCAAUGAGCCACAAAACUGUAGAAAAAGCGGAACAACAAAACAAGUGAAGUGUACAACGAGUAGCUUGCCACUGACGUACUAUCAUCUGUAUGUAUUUGCUAUAUGUAUUCUCGCCACUGUUCCGUACCUGAUAAAUUAUUGUUUAAUGAUAAUGUUGUUUAUUUAAUAAAAUGUAUCUGAAUAACAA